GAGUUUUGAUCAUGGCUCAGGAUGAACGCUAGCUACAGGCUUAACACAUGCAAGUCGAGGGGAAACGAUAUUGGAAGCUUGCUUCCGAUAGGCGUCGACCGGCGCACGGGUGAGUAACGCGUAUCCAACCUGCCCACCACUUGGGGGAUAACCUUGCGAAAGUAAGACUAAUACCCAAUGAUAUCUCUAGAAGACAUCUGAAAGAGAUUAAAGAUUUUAUCGGUGAUGGAUGGGGAUGCGUCUGAUUAGCUUGUUGGCGGGGUAACGGCCCACCAAGGCAACGAUCAGUAGGGGUUCUGAGAGGAAGGUCCCCCACAUUGGAACUGAGACACGGUCCAAACUCCUACGGGAGGCAGCA
Molecule: ribosomal RNA, 358 nt
Filed under: uncultured bacterium
Lineage: Bacteria
Description: bacterial SSU rRNA
Rfam family: Bacterial small subunit ribosomal RNA
Source: RNAcentral